This 689-nucleotide ribosomal RNA is filed under the name Faecalibacterium prausnitzii. RNAcentral describes it as "bacterial SSU rRNA". It matches the Rfam family "Bacterial small subunit ribosomal RNA", at positions 437 to 1152 of the family's 1533-position model. The record is from RNAcentral. Lineage: Bacteria; Bacillati; Bacillota; Clostridia; Eubacteriales; Oscillospiraceae.
UGUUGAGGAAGAUAAUGACGGUACUCAACAAGGAAGUGACGGCUAACUACGUGCCAGCAGCCGCGGUAAAACGUAGGUCACAAGCGUUGUCCGGAAUUACUGGGUGUAAAGGGAGCGCAGGCGGGCGAUCAAGUUGGAAGUGAAAUCCAUGGGCUCAACCCAUGAACUGCUUUCAAAACUGAUUGUCUUGAGUAGUGCAGAGGUAGGCGGAAUUCCCGGUGUAGCGGUGGAAUGCGUAGAUAUCGGGAGGAACACCAGUGGCGAAGGCGGCCUACUGGGCACCAACUGACGCUGAGGCUCGAAAGUGUGGGUAGCAAACAGGAUUAGAUACCCUGGUAGUCCACACCGUAAACGAUGAUUACUAGGUGUUGGAGGAUUGACCCCUUCAGUGCCGCAGUUAACACAAUAAGUAAUCCACCUGGGGAGUACGACCGCAAGGUUGAAACUCAAAGGAAUUGACGGGGGCCCGCACAAGCAGUGGAGUAUGUGGUUUAAUUCGACGCAACGCGAAGAACCUUACCAAGUCUUGACAUCCUGCGACGAUGCUAGAAAUAGUAUUUUCCUUCGGGACGCAGAGACAGGUGGUGCAUGGUUGUCGUCAGCUCGUGUCGUGAGAUGUUGGGUUAAGUCCCGCAACGAGCGCAACCCUUAUGGUCAGUUACUACGCAAGAGGACUCUGGCCAGACUGC